AUGUGCCGGGUAUCUUACAGCUAUGAUUUGGUGGCGGAAAAAAAAGAAGGAGAAGAAAGAAGGAAGAAGGAGAAGAAAGAAGGAAGGAGGAGAAAGAAGGAAGAAGGAGAAAGAAGGAAGAAGGAGGAGAAGGAGAAGGAGAAGAAGAAGAGAAGAAGAAGAGAAGAAGAAGAGGAGGAAGAGGAGGAAGAGGAGGAGGAGGAGGAGGAAGAGGAGGAAGAGGAGGAAGAAGAAAGAAGAAGAAAGAAGAAAGAAGAAGAAGAAAGAAGAAGAAGAAGAAGAAAGAUGAUGUUGGAAAUAGGAUGACCAGAAAGAAAAGAACUGGAAAACUUUAAUCACUCAGAUUCUUUUUCAGAAAAUAAAGUCACUAUAGGAAAUACCUCUUUUUCUGUCUUCUCCAUCCCUGUCUUAUCCUUUUGAAGAGAAUGGAACACUUUGAAUAAAAAUUACUGCCUUAUUUUUCCAAAGAGGUAAACAAUGGCUGGAAAUGUUAAUGUUCCCUUAAGCACCUCUGAGGCAUGACUGUGUCCUUCUCUUGGACAUCAAACUGUGAAAAAUCAUUGUACUGUCCAAUAAUCUCACCAAACAAAGGCAUUUCCUGCUGAAUAGGUCAAGCUAGGCCUAUCUAAGAACAGCAUUUUGGCUAAUGGGCAUAAUGUCAUGAUGGAAAAGGAUUUGGGCAGAGGCUCAGAAGUGCCGUUUAGUAGAUUUGCCUUGUUUACUAGGCCCAAUUUAUUGCUAGGGAAAGGUGCUCAAAAUCAGUUGCUUAGGGAAAUAGGUAGGCAAAAGAGGAUAUAGAGUAUGAUCAUAUUCCGGUAAAAGAAUAGAAAGUGUCCAUUUGAGUUAUUUGUUUAUAGCCACAGAAAUUCACUCUGGCUCACAAGAGAAAGAAUUUAUUGGACAGAUGUGGAAGUUCAUGGAAGUAUCAGCUAUUGCUACAUAACAAACCACCCCAAAUGCAGUGGCUUAAAAAAAUCAAUUUAUUCAUCUCAGUAGUAUAGACUGUUCCACACCAUAUAUCAUAUAUCUCAGGGCAGCCAGUUGACUGAGGCCUUGGGCUCUCCUCCAAAUGUUUUAUUAUCCUCCAGCAGCAUAGGCCCUUCUUGUCCUUAUAGGGGAGUCAGGGUUCUGGGAGAGAGAGUGAAAGAGCGCACAAGGUCCCUGGAAACCUAAGCUCUGAGUUGGCACACUCGCCUCCCCUGCAUUCAAGCCAAAUCAAAUCACAAGGCAUCCCAGAUCUGAGGGGUGUGGAACUAGAUUCCCCCUCUUCAUAGGAUUCCACCUCUGGAAUGGGCAUGAGUAAGAAGGCCACCAAUUGGGACCAUCAAUGCAAUCAAUUUACCAUAAGAGAAUUGAGGGCAAAGCUGAAGAUUAGUUCUCAGAAGGCCCAGGACCCAGGGAUGUACUAUAUGUUUGAGUGAUGGGAACUAAUGGGUGAUCUCUUCACUGUUCUCCUUUCAGGAGGAAGGAAGGUGAGUAUUUUCAGUCUGUGAGGCUCAUUUAGUUGGAGAUGGAAAUAUCACCCUAGCCACCUGCCUACUGCUUAGUCAGCAGAGGUCAUGACAUCCAGAUUGGCAAGCCCACUAGAAAUGAUAGUCUAUUGAUUGAGGGGCCAUCCGCGGAGCAAAAUAUGGUGUGUCUCCCUAAAGAAGGCAGAAUGAAGGCUGGGCCAUCCGUACCAAUAUGUUCUCUUCAUACACUAAAAUAGUAACAAUAGUAAUCCAUGUGUGUGGGGUUUAUAGAAGAGAGUUUUCUUUUUGUUUGCAUGUAUUUCUGAAAUUUCUCCAAGGAAUAUGUAUUAGUUACAUAAUAUUUUAAUUUUU
Molecule: long non-coding RNA, 1823 nt
Filed under: Canis lupus familiaris (dog)
Lineage: Eukaryota; Metazoa; Chordata; Mammalia; Carnivora; Canidae
Description: lncRNA (ENSCAFG00845001455.1)
Source: RNAcentral